AGGACGAACGCUGGCGGCGUGCUUAACACAUGCAAGUCGAACGGUGACGGAGGAGCUUGCUCCUCCUGAUCAGUGGCGAACGGGUGAGUAACACGUGAGUAACCUGCCCCAGACUCUGGAAUAACCCCGGGAAACCGGAGCUAAUACCGGAUACGAGACGGAGUCGCAUGGCUACCGUCUGGAAAGUUUUUCGGUCUGGGAUGGACUCGCGGCCUAUCAGCUUGUUGGUGAGGUAACAGCUCACCAAGGCGACGACGGGUAGCCGGCCUGAGAGGGCGAUCGGCCACACUGGGACUGAGACACGGCCCAGACUCCUACGGGAGGCAGCAGUGGGGAAUAUUGCACAAUGGGCGAAAGCCUGAUGCAGCGACGCCGCGUGAGGGAUGAAGGCCUUCGGGUUGUAAACCUCUUUCAGCAGGGAAGAAGCGAAGUGACGGUACUGCAGAAGAAGCACCGGCUAACUCGUGCCAGCAGCCGC
RNAcentral lists this ribosomal RNA (478 nucleotides) under uncultured bacterium. RNAcentral describes it as "SSU rRNA". It matches the Rfam family "Bacterial small subunit ribosomal RNA", at positions 26 to 518 of the family's 1533-position model. The record is from RNAcentral.